Molecule: long non-coding RNA, 3116 nt
Filed under: Zea mays
Lineage: Eukaryota; Viridiplantae; Streptophyta; Magnoliopsida; Poales; Poaceae
Description: long non-coding RNA (ZMAY_LNC001741)
Source: RNAcentral
UAAAAUGAAGCACACCGUCAAGCCUCGCUAGGACUCCACGAAACCACUUCUCAGCACCGUUCUAGCCGCUGUGUUUCCAUGUGACCAAACACCAGAUUUCUUCUCCCUGGAAUGCCUCCUCGGCUAUGCAUGGGACCGUAUUCCAGAGCCAUUAGGCCUCAAUAGAAACCAUCUACUAUACUUCCACGCAUAGCUCAGGCCUGGCUUUAUGGCCAUGCCGAAACUCCCGCUGGGCAGGAUAAUCCCUACCGGGACUCGUCCGAGACCAGGCAAAUAUAGAUGGACCACAGCGACCCACCCUCCCCAUCCAUCUCGUGACAAUGCUAGGAGAACCAUGCACGUCGAAUAAAUAGAGAGAGAGAGAUAAGAUGCACUGCCGGGAUUCUUCUACGACGCUGUUCAGAGCCUAAGAAAAGGCCUUGGGUAUUAGUCAAGACAAGUGGUGAAGGUCCGCGGGGUAGCCUGAUUUGGGGCUCGACCCGAGCACUGGCGAUUGCUCGUCAGAGUUCGCGUUCUCCACCACAUAGUCGCUGCACCAUGGUCGAAGGUCUCUUCGGCAUGAACCUUGGUGAGAUUCCUACCCCUUUGGUUUGCUUUCUUGUCCGCUCAGCGUAGCUCUAACCAUAAGGGCUUGUUCGGUUACACCAAUCCAGAGGGGGAUUGGAGGGGUUUAAAUCCCCGUCUAGUCAUUUUUGACUAGGAGGGGAUUUAAUCCUCUCCAAUCCUCCUCUGGAUUGGUGUAACCGAACAUGCCCUAAGGGGGGAACGGAACUCCGGUGUUAGAUUGGGCGGCACACCGGUGAGGGUGCUACCGCGGGGGUGCCAUGCGCACCUGGCUCAUCGUGCUGAGGAAAGAAGGAGAGCUGAGGGUUGAUGGAUGUAGAUGAACGAAUCUGAUUAGACAAUGAAUAGCGCUUCGACCGGAGCGUUCAGUGCCGUCGGAUCCGAAAUAGAUUGCUCGGGUUAUAUCUGGGUGUGGGAUAAGGGGUCCAUGGAUCUAAGAUUCAGCGACCAUCGUUGGACGUCGGUUCAAUGGGGUUAAAUCUAAUUUCAACUGCUGAUAUCAGAUCGGUCGGCCCUUGUAAGCCUAUACCCCUUUGACCGGGCUUUCUUGCAUAAGUGCCCCUGCCUUUUUUAUAAAGCAAUCCGCCAUCCUCAGCCAUAAGGGAUCCUUAUAUCUAGGUCCCUGAAAUUUAUAAAACAACUCCUAGAUUUAUAAAGAAAUUCUGGAAACUGAUUUAUAAUAUAAAAAUAAUUGUAGAAGGUUAGAAAAAUCAUAUCUUCCACGUUCUCCAUUUUAACCCGUUCAAGUUGCAUUAACUUCAUAAUAAUAUUUUCUACGCUGUAACAACAUCAAUUGUACCAUAUCACAUAUUUUAUAAUUAGAUAUUUAUUUAACCUAAGUUUAGUAGAUUAAUAUUGAUGAUCAAAGUUAAUCUAUCUAUAAUUAUAAUUUGACUGAAAUAUAAUCUGUGAUCAAGUUAUAACCUAGAUUAAGAUUUAAUUAGUUAGUUAUUUGGGAUAUCUUUUCUCACAUAAGUAUAUUAAUCAAACCUAGAUUAUAGUUCUCCUGUUUAAUCAUCUAAAACUUAGAAAGCCCAUAUCUUCCUCAAUUUAGCCCUGAUUUUAGUGGUUCUUGAACCUACGAUCUCGUAGCGGCCCGUAGAAUUUUCCUACGCAAUUGUUUCCAUGUUUGGUGGAAUGUUAUAUUUUAUGUAUUCCUUGUCUAGUUGUAUGUAUUGCUACGAGUAGCAGCGAAGUCACAAGAAACCCGAAGACUUACUUGGAGAAGUACCAGGAAUCUCAAGUCAUAGGCAAGUUGUGCCCUUGAUCACUCUUCUUUACCUAAUAAUGUUCCUGUUAAUCACUAUGACAUGCUUAGGUUAAUUUGAUGGGACCUAAUAGGUUUCCUAGUUUUCUUCACCAUACACCUUGCAAACAAAUGAACUAUUGGGUAGACUUGCUAUUGCUCUACUCGGUUUUGGGAUUAAUGCUUUGUUGAAUUACGAUCAUGUUCCAUUAUUGUUAUUGUUGGUUUAAUUAUUGUUCAAGAUAAGAUUAUUGAGUUAAAAGGAACAUGGAGAACCACCCAGGAAAAUAGUGCUACCACAAGGGUGGUAUGGGACGUCCUUGGUUGAUUAAUUAGGAAAGCUAAUGGAUGGUGGAUGACUACCUUACCUGAAAGGGCAAGGGCAGCAGAGGAGCUGCCGGUAUAUGGAGGUUCUCAGAUUGAUCAUGCUGCGAUGGCUUUUCGGACGAGGGAUUCCUAUAUCGCCCUUCUCAGAAACCGUAGCAGGUUUUCUGAAGCUAGUGGAACUUUGUAAAAGCCUCGUAGUGAUACCCUGCCUCGUCUCCUCGGUAGAGAUGUAUGGGAUUCAUGCCCCCAUGGCAAAUGGGUAACACGACUUGUGUGUAAAGAUGUGCAACCUCUGCAGAGUGUAGAACUAGUAUAUCAGCCAUGCUCACGGUCAUGAGCGGCUCAGACACUCACAUGAUUAACUUAUGGAAUUAAACUUAAUCUGUCAUUUGCAUUUGCAUUGUGGGUUUUAUUAUUAAAUUGUGAUCUCUUAUUUAUUUGUGAUGGUAUCUACUUACACUUAGUAACUGCUAAUAAAUUUUGACCAACUUCAAUAGCAAAGCUCAGCUUUAACCAUCUUCUUUGGUAAUCCUUACACUUCACAUGAGCCCCCACCAUAAGUGAGCUCAUGCACAUUAUUCCCUACAACUAGUUGAGCGAUGAACGUAUGUGAGCUCACCCUCGCUGUACUCACAUCCCCCCAGGUCAAGGAAGGUACCACAAGAUGAGGAGCAUGAAGGAGGUCGCGAUGAGUUCGUGAGUGGUCUAGGCCGUCGUCUCCUAGUAAACUAUGGUUGCUGGAUCGUUGUCUUCAUAUGAUGUAAUUAUUUAGCAAUUUUGUACAGAACUCCUAUUAUAUAGUAAAGAUAUGACAUUCGAUUCUGUACCAUGAGUCAUCAUAUAUGUGAGACUUCAUCCUAGCAAACAUUUGAUUUGCGCCCGGGUUUGCCCCUAAAUCCGGAUGUGACAGAAGUGGUAUCAGAGGAAUGUUGAAUGUAGGACGUAACCUAGAUAGACUUGGUCAAGCCCUUACCUACUU